RNAcentral lists this transfer RNA (71 nucleotides) under Marmota monax (woodchuck). Its description in RNAcentral is "tRNA.Ala". The stretch from base 6 to 66 matches the Rfam family "tRNA", at positions 6 to 65 of the family's 71-position model. From Rfam's summary of the family: Transfer RNA (tRNA) molecules are approximately 80 nucleotides in length. Their secondary structure includes four short double-helical elements and three loops (D, anti-codon, and T loops). Lineage: Eukaryota; Metazoa; Chordata; Mammalia; Rodentia; Sciuridae. The record is from RNAcentral.
GGGGUUGUGGCUCAGAGGUAAAGCACUUGCCUAGCAUGCAUGAAGUACUGGGUUCAAUCCUCAGCACUACA